Molecule: long non-coding RNA, 925 nt
Organism: Equus quagga
Lineage: Eukaryota; Metazoa; Chordata; Mammalia; Perissodactyla; Equidae
Exons: 3
Source: RefSeq, a predicted model, not a curated record
CCUGAGCUAACAUCCGUGCCCAUCUUCCUCUGCUUUAUAUAUGGGAUGCCUGCCACAGCAUGGCUUGCCAAGUGGUGUUUAGGUUCGCAUCCAGGAUCCAACCUGCGAACCCUAGGCUGCCAAAGUGGAAGGUGUGAACUUAACUGCGCCACCAGGCGGGCCCAGUAAUCACGUUUUUAUCUGAAGCAGACUCUCCCUUCCUGGCUUUGAUGAAGCGAGUUGCCAUGUUGGAGAGGCCAACAUUACAAGUAAAUGAGGGUCGCCUCUGGACAACAGCCGGCAAGGAGCUGAGGCCUGUAGUCCAACGAUGCAUGAGGAACUGAAAUUCUGCCAACAGCUACAUGAGCUUAGAAGCAGAUUCUUCCCCAUCAAGUCUUCAGAUGAGACCCGAGCACUGGAUAACACUUUGAGAGAGACCUUGAAACAGAGGACCCAGCUAAGCCCUGCCCAGAUUCCUAGCUCACAGAAACCGUGAGAUAAUAAAUAUGGGCCCCAGCUCAUGGCAGAAAGGCUUGUCCUGACAGCGACACACGAGACUUUGGGUCUCCUGCCCAGGAAUGUUGGUUCCUAAGACAGAAGAGUCUUUGUGAAGAAGGAGGAAAAGGAGCCCUGGAAUCUCCUGUUGGCUCUCGCCUGGGGAAGGACGGAUGCCUGGGACUGAGGGGAGGGGAGGACCAGACUGGUGCCCCUGAGGUAGUGUGAGAGGCUCUAUAGCUUUCUGAGGCUUCUGGGGACAAGGGGCUGGUGCAUACAGGGCCUUUUCCCUCCAUGCUGUCUUGAGCAGACCCUGCAGGAUCUGGUACUUAUUGGUUCUACCCCCUGCCUUCUCCAUAGAAUUUGGGAGGUGCUUAAGGGCCCCGAGAAAGUUUAAGCUACUGCAUAGAUGUGGAACAGAUACCAGUAGAAGGAGAGAAAGAUUUCCUCC